UACGGGGGGAGCAAGCGUUGUUCGGAUUUACUGGGCGUAAAGGGCGCGUAGGCGGUCAGCACAAGUCAGUUGUGAAAUCUCCGAGCUUAACUCGGAACGGUCAACUGAUACUGUGCGACUAGAGUGCGGAAGGGGCAACUGGAAUUCUCGGUGUAGCGGUGAAAUGCGUAGAUAUCGAGAGGAACACCUGCGGCGAAGGCGGGUUGCUGGGCUGAUACUGACGCUGAGGCGCGAAAGCCAGGGGAGCGAACGGG
This 254-nucleotide ribosomal RNA is filed under the name uncultured bacterium. RNAcentral's name for it is "partial 16S ribosomal RNA". It matches the Rfam family "Bacterial small subunit ribosomal RNA", at positions 524 to 776 of the family's 1533-position model. The record is from RNAcentral.